CCAAUGGCUGUGUGAAGCGUCUAGUGUGGUAGCUUAACUUGUUGCCACCGCUGGCUAGCAUCUGUGAAAGGGGAGCAAUUUUGUAAGUCUCUCUUGCCAGUACAUAGCCUCUCCACAGCAAGUCCUAUGCAGUACCUCCUCGUGGUGGCAGAUGGAAACUGAGGCUGCGAAGCCUUAGGCUAAACUGCAAGGGUCUCGGAGGAGGUUUGGCCCCAAGAUGUGAGGCAGGCAUGGCCCGUCGGCGUGCGGACACGCCCUGUUGCCCACAAACCAAACCCCUAGCUAUAGGUCAAUAGCCGCACUGCCUUGUGUGUGUGUCCCUGUAAGGUCUAAGGCUAAGGGAGUAAACCCUAACAGAAAAUCCGGUCCUGGAGCCCCGUAGGCGGGGGGACAGUAGUAAGACUACUGCUCUCUGGCAAACUCCUGCAGCCACCUGUCCCCAAAUUGUGAUGGCUCGCCAUCCCUUUGGACCCGGUCAGUAUGGAAGAGAGGCGGGUGCUGACGUGUGGGCAGCCCAGCACUCGCAAAUUUACCGCCCAGGCUUUCCCCCAGCAAUGGAGAGGUCACUCCAUCUCUGCUGGUGAUUUUAUAUGCCCAACCUGUGAUCGCAGCUGUGUAUCAAGGAUUGGCCUCUUUAGUCACACAAGAAGUUGCAAAGGGAAAAGAUCGUCUCGCGAGACGUAAAAUGCCACAGAGAUCUAGAUCUAGACCACAAUGGGUCGAGUUGCAGGCGCAACAUUGCUUUAUAAAUCUUUUAAAUAUUAAUGUGCUUUACCUAUUAUUGUGUUAUUUAUGACAGGUUCUCAAACAUUUUUGACCCGCGGACCCCUUUAUAUAAUAAUAUAUAAUAUUUAAUAAUAUAUAGUGCAAGGAUCCCUAAGUGUAAAAGCUAAAUAAAUGCAUAUUAAAUAUGUAACAAAUGUAAUAAAACAACAUUUUGUUGAAUGAGCAUUUAUUGAGAUAAGAGCUCUUGUAAAUAUCAACAGCAAGGUAACGUGCCUCCAACGGAUAACAAGCCACAUUGAAAUAGAAGGCAAUGAAAAAGCAGACAUAUUGGACAAAGAGGGGGGGAUGACUAAACAGUCCCUUUCUACCCGGGAGAAAUGGAAAAAAAAAGUUGAAAAAGGAGAAAUGGAUCAGCUUUCUCGCAAAGAUGAAGAAAAUGAUGCCUAUUACUAGCUAUCCCAACAAGAUGGCUGCCUGGUCGUGCGGUUUGCGCGCUGGACUAUCGUUCAGAUUUAUCGAUGGUCCCGGGUUCAAACCCUGUCCGCUCCCAUCCCCCGUCGUCCUGCGGGAGGUUUGGACUAGAAAGUAAUUAUCUUCAACUCUGAAGGAACAUCCGAAAUAUGUAAAACAUUUUACAAACAAACAGACCAACAUAUAUUUUGUCUCAGAACCGGACACAGCUGAAUGAGGCAACACAUUUUCCGGAAGCUGAAAAUUGGGACUAGUGAGAUUUGCCAUCGUGGAGCAUCACCAGAGAAUGCUGACCAUGUCCUUCAAAGCUGCAAACUCUGUCGAGAGCCCCGAACAUGACAUUAGCUACAAAAACUCCCUAGGAAUACUUGUGGCUGCUUGAUCGUGUGGUGUGCUUUGUUCUCCGCACUUUUCCUGAAGUUGACGGAUGAAGAAAAUCAUGUCAAUUGUGGAUCUCCCUCUGCGAAAGCCGCACCGUGAUUCUGGAUAUACCCCAUCAGCGAGUUUUUUGUAGCCUGGGAAGUAUCACUCGAGCAAAGAGUUUGCCUACAAUACUUAGGAGGGGAAUUCUCCUGUAAUUGUUGCAUAUGCUUCUGUCAGCUUUGUUCUUGUACAUUAAUAAUUGUUAAUUAAUAAUUUGUAAUUAAUUAUUUUGUUUGGUAUCUCGAACAAGGGAAAGAAAUUAUGCUUGACUGAUAAGGUCGUAUACGUUGAAUUAAUCCCCUUUAUUGUUUGUAGAAUGAAAAGUUUGUAAAUAACUAUGAAACCUAUUUUCAUAAGCAGCUCCAUGGCACAGUGGUUAGCGUGUUGGCUAGAGGAGGCUGAGGAGGUCUUGAGGCCUCGAGUUCAAAUUUGGUCUCUCACUUUUUUAAAGUGAUCAUCCAGAUACCCCCUUCCUCCUCCUCUCUCACUCUCUCUUUCACUCACUCUCUCUCUCUCUCACUCUCUCUCUCACUCUCUCUCUCUCACUCUCUCUUUCUCUCUCUCUCUCUCUCUCUCUCUCUCUCUCUCUCUCUCUCUCCAUGAAAUAAACACUGACGAUGAAAUAAACACUAAACAUGAAAUGUUCAGAAAUUUAUAUAAAUUCAACAUGUUUGAUUUAUUAACUAGUAUAUUAAUCAAUAUUAAAAGAAUAGAUCUAUAGCAACGUGUACACACAAUUCAUUGGAGGUUCUCAUGCUAAAAGCUUACUCACGUAUACUAGCUGUUAGUUCACAAUUUGACUUGUAAUUUGUUUCUACGGUCAAUCCAUAGACUACAUCAGUGGUUCCCAAACUUUUUCCUUUUCAAAACACUUUACACAUUCCGACUAUUUAUUAAAACAAUUUAAUUACAUGUUUCAGAGAGAUUAAUUCACGUGGUGGACUACUAGUUAAUUAUUCCAGUAGUUUGGGGAACAUCUACUCAGGCCUCGCAGAGUACUAGGGUUCCGCGGAACACAGUUUGGGAGACACUGGACUUUAUUAUAUAAUAUAGUCUACGGGUCACACUAGAGAGUGCACAAAAGUGAGUACAUGGUUUAAAAAAAAAUGGCGAUUCUGACAAAGAGUUCAUCCCAGUAAUCUGUUCACUGUUUGCACUUUGAUUUUUAAAUAUCCCGUAUGGUUUCUUUGAGCAAUUAAAUUCAGUAAGAGAGGAAAAGUGAUACGAAGAAAUGCGUGGCGACAUAAUGAAACUUCAAAAAAAAAAAGUAAGAAAACAAUGUCAAGGAUGCCAGGAUGAAAGGUCACUGUUGACAGCUAAUUGAUACAACUGACUUUGUGUUCCAACAUCUAAGCAAGGGUUUAUGUAAAUACUGCGCAUAUCAAGACUUCCUUCCGUAAUUCUGUACGAAGGAUAAAGUCAAGAAAAAAGCUUGCUAUUUGUGAAUUCGCAAGAAAAUCUCAAAUAAAUAUAGAAUUAUACAAAUAAAAUGUAAACACUAUACAUAUUAAACAUUAUCAUUACAUCAGUCAAGAUUGAUACAGUUGUGACAAGAAUUAACUAAAAAAGAAAUAUGUGUUAACACAGGGGUUCUCAACCUGUGGGUCGCGACCCCCUUGGGGGUCGACUGACGAUUUGCCAGGGGUCGCAUAAGACCGUCGAAAAUAUGGAUUGUUUUUGUCUAUUCUUCUAUUGCUGUGUGGGUGGGGGUCGCGCCAGAGUGGGGGAUUGUAAAAAGGGGGUCGCCGAGCAUAAAAGGUUGAGAACCGCUGUGUUAACCAAAAAAAACACCAUUGGCAUUUCUUAAAAUAUAAUAAAUUUAAAAAAAAACUGAAUAGUUCAGCAAUUAGUAAAAAUAAACAUAUGAAAUCAUGUGAUUGGCUAUCUAAGCCUCUGUAUUUUGCCUUCUAUAUUAAUUCAAUAUAGGUCCCUAAGAAAAAAAAAGCUCUUAUUGAAGACAGACGUAGAAGGCCAACAUAAAACUAAUAUCUAUCUGUAGGAAUUACUGAGACUAUGAAUUUUGUACAAGCCUAUAUAUAUUCCUUUUAUAAGUUGGAAAGUGACAAUUAUACGCCAUUAAAAUGAUGUCAAUCAAAUAAUUUUAAUAAGAUGUUCAUAUUUCUGGUCAAAACGUAAUUUAAAACGUGUAAUAUCUUUUAAUAUUUGAAAUAACGUCUGUAUUUUAUAAGAUACGAAGAUAAUAUUAAUCAUGAAUAUUAAAAGAAUAUGUAAUUUGAAAUACAAUCAUAAUUCACAUUUCAAAUCAGUUCACAUUCCAGUUCACAUGAUGUAUGAACGAUGAUGUGAUGGUGAUGUAAUGAUGCACAGUGGUGGUAAGACUUCUUGCUCUUUAGGGUGACGGAAGACUACAAGGCAAAAAAAAAUGAUUCCUAACGAGACAGUUGAGCCCAAGAAAAUCUGCCAACAAAGACAUGCGCUGACGAUGAAAAUAUAAGUUAAGACCCCGGUAGACCACGCGUGUCAACGUCACAUUUUAAAAAAAUAUGUAAGCCAAAUCUGAGUCUUGGCAGAUUAAAAAAAAAAAAUUCUCU
Molecule: long non-coding RNA, 4172 nt
Organism: Biomphalaria glabrata
Lineage: Eukaryota; Metazoa; Mollusca; Gastropoda; Planorbidae
Exons: 2
Source: RefSeq, a predicted model, not a curated record